This 74-nucleotide transfer RNA is filed under the name Camelus bactrianus (Bactrian camel). It matches the Rfam family "tRNA". From Rfam's summary of the family: Transfer RNA (tRNA) molecules are approximately 80 nucleotides in length. Lineage: Eukaryota; Metazoa; Chordata; Mammalia; Artiodactyla; Camelidae. The record is from Rfam by way of RNAcentral. RNAcentral also lists the same sequence under 2 other names.
GAGGGUAUAGCUCAAGUAGUAAAGCACAUGCUUAGCAUGCAUGAAGUCCCGGGUUCAAUUCCCUGGUACCUCCA